This 1075-nucleotide long non-coding RNA is filed under the name Anolis carolinensis (green anole). RNAcentral describes it as "lncRNA (ENSACAG00000041981.1)". Lineage: Eukaryota; Metazoa; Chordata; Lepidosauria; Squamata; Anolidae. The record is from RNAcentral.
CUCUCUGCAGGACUCUCUCCCAGGGCUAACGGUUCCUCUGUCUCUUGUCAAGGUGGGUGUCGAAAGCGAAAGCAGCAGGAAGCCGUUGCCAGCAGCACGGGCCAAGAAGAGGGCUAGUGCAGAGUCAGGCAAACCAGUCUAUCAUUUUGACUUCUCUUCUAGUCAAAAUUCUGGUUGCAAACGGCGAAAAAUUAGUGAACCGAAAAAGAAAAAAUAGAUACAAGUUUCCUUGCUGUUUCAUUUUCCGUUCCUUUCUGCAGCUUGUUAAAGGAAGAAUAUAUUUUAAUAAGUUAAUAAUAUUGAAUGUUCUUCAAAGCUUUUAUUUACAGUAAAAAAUACAGGGUUUUAAUAACUAGAUUUGAUAAAAUUCAGUAGAAUAAAACUCACGUUUUGCCUUGAGGAAAAAAGAUGCUGGAAAUAUUUCAGUAUGAAACUUGGCAUGGCAAAAAUAAAAUAAAAUAUUAUAACAUAAAACAAUAAAAUAAAAUAAGACUUACAUAGGCAAGUUCAAACUGAUUUGAACUGGAUCUGAAGAAAACUAAAAGAAGUUGCUUUAUUCUAAUAAAAUAUAAUUCAUUUUAAUGUUGACACAAUAGUCUGUAUGUUAAUAUUUUCUGAAGUUCUCAGCACAUAUUCUUCCAGAGUGUGAAAAUGUAUUUCAUUCCCCUAGAAGUUUUAAAAUUCAGGUCAGGGACAUGAAUUUUAAAAUUUGAAAUGAUUAAAUUUUCUACUACAAAAUUUAGAAUAUUGGGAUUUUCCCUAGUAUUUAUCAAUUUUUUGAAACAGCUGGAUACAGUUUUUUUUAAAAGCAGUUGAUAUGUUCAGUGUGUUGGCGAAGGCUUUCAUGGCCGGAAUCACUGGGUUGUUGUGAGUUUUCCGGGCUGGAUGGUCAUGUUUCAGAAGCAUUCUCUCCUGACGUUUCACCCACAUCUAUGGUAGGAGUCCUCAGAGGUUGUGAGGUCUGUUGGAAACUAGGCAGGUGUGGUUCAUUCUCCCAUCCUGGACAUUCCACAGAUAUAUAAACCCCAGUUGCCUAGUUUCCAACAGACUCCUCUACCUCUGAGAAUGCCUGCCA